CAUCGGCCCUAGGGGUGCCGGUUAACCGGCUGAGAGGGACAUGACGUCCCGACCCUCGGAACCUGAUUCGGUUAACACCGACGGAGGAAAGCGGCACGAUUUAUCC
Molecule: non-coding RNA, 106 nt
Filed under: Candidatus Delongiibacteriota
Lineage: Bacteria
Description: Candidatus Delongbacteria TPP sequence
Rfam family: TPP riboswitch aptamer (THI element)
About the family: Vitamin B(1) in its active form thiamin pyrophosphate (TPP) is an essential coenzyme that is synthesised by coupling of pyrimidine and thiazole moieties in bacteria.
Source: RNAcentral